AUUGAACGCUAGCGGGAUGCCUAACACAUGCAAGUCGAACGAGUGGCGGACGGGUGAGUAAUGUAUGGGAACCUGCCCGGUAGAGGGGGAUAACUACUGGAAAGGGUGGCUAAUACCGCAUACCAUCGGAUCUGCCGAGAUCGGAUUAGCUGGUUGGUGGGGUAACGGCUCACCAAGGCGACGAUCCCUAGCUGGUCUGAGAGGAUGACCAGCCACACUGGGACUGAGACACGGCCCAGACUCCUACGGGAGGCAGCAGUGGGGAAUAUUGCACAAUGGGCGAAAGUCUGACCGAGCAACGCCGCGUGUAUGAUGAAGGUUUUCGGGUCGUAAAGCACUGUUGGUGGGGAGGCGGUAUCUAACCAAGAAGCCCCGGCUAACUACGUGCCAGCAGCCGCGGUAAUUC
RNAcentral lists this ribosomal RNA (406 nucleotides) under uncultured bacterium. RNAcentral describes it as "partial 16S ribosomal RNA". It matches the Rfam family "Bacterial small subunit ribosomal RNA", at positions 30 to 526 of the family's 1533-position model. The record is from RNAcentral.